UUUAAGUCUUUAACCUCUUGUAUAACUGUCACUUUGUGUCUGUAUCUGACAGGAAGACUCCUAAUAAUCUUCUUGACAUGAUCAUAUGUAGUGUAGCUCUUGUUCAAAACUUGAAGUUCAUAUACAAGAACUUGAAACCUAGAGAACAUGGUUUCAAUGUCUUCAUCCUCCAUCAUUCGGAACAACUCAUAUUGUUGAACCAG
This 203-nucleotide long non-coding RNA is filed under the name Lathyrus oleraceus (garden pea). RNAcentral describes it as "Pisum sativum (pea) long non-coding RNA (PSAT_LNC004551)". The record is from RNAcentral. Lineage: Eukaryota; Viridiplantae; Streptophyta; Magnoliopsida; Fabales; Fabaceae.